Molecule: ribosomal RNA, 409 nt
Filed under: Acidobacteriota bacterium
Lineage: Bacteria; Pseudomonadati; Acidobacteriota
Description: Acidobacteria bacterium partial 16S ribosomal RNA
Rfam family: Bacterial small subunit ribosomal RNA
Source: RNAcentral
UGGGGAAUAUUGCACAAUGGGCGAAAGCCUGAUGCAGCGACGCCGCGUGUGGGAUGACGGCCUUCGGGUUGUAAACUUCUUUCAGCAGGGACGAAGCUCAAGUGACGGUACCUGCAGAAGAAGCACCGGCUAACUACGUGCCAGCAGCCGCGGUAAUACGUAGGGUGCAAGCGUUGUCCGGAAUUACUGGGCGUAAAGAGUUCGUAGGCGGUUUGUCGCGUCGUUUGUGAAAACCAGCAGCUCAACUGCUGGCUUGCAGGCGAUACGGGCAGACUUGAGUACUGCAGGGGAGACUGGAAUUCCUGGUGUAGCGGUGAAAUGCGCAGAUAUCAGGAGGAACACCGGUGGCGGAGGCGGGUCUCUGGGCAGUAACUGACGCUGAGGAACGAAAGCGUGGGUAGCGAACAGG